Molecule: RNA transcript, 4309 nt
Organism: Nymphalis io (European peacock)
Lineage: Eukaryota; Metazoa; Arthropoda; Insecta; Lepidoptera; Nymphalidae
Gene name: non-lysosomal glucosylceramidase
Exons: 17
Source: RefSeq, a predicted model, not a curated record
AUCAGUCUGUGGUGACGCUGUCAACAUUCGACAAAUUCACUCCUAAUUUUUAGACAGUCGUUCUCACUUCUCAGUUAAUCAGAUCUCCUUUUCACUUCAGAGUUCAGCCUUAAUCUAUAAUCUUUGAAGUUAUGUUGACUGUCCAUUUAUGUCAUUUUUCAGUUGUGAAAUAUUUGUAAUUUCUGUUCAGUGAAUCGGCUGGGCUCGCUUAUAUUAAAAUCAUUUAUUUAGAAUAUUGAAUAGUGAUCUACAGUAACCGGGUACCAAUAUACUUCAAACUAUGCUCUAAGUCUUUUUUAUAAUAAUGGACAAAGAAAUUGUAUCUAAUGACACUAUGGAUGAACCUCCAAAGUAUGGCCUUAAAUUUGCAUUAAACCAUGAAUUUCCCCUUAAAAGCAAGCAACUUGUAAUACCAAGACCUAAACAAAUUUUUGAAAUGAUGCCUUUAACAACAAGGUAUCUUAAAUACUACUUAACACGAAAGAUGCAAAAAAGACGACCAAUAAUGGAUUAUAUUCAUAUGAUUUCUGCACAAAGAAUGUAUGGUUGUCCAAUUGGAGGCAUUGGCGGUGGUACCAUUGGCAGAGGAUUUAAAGGGGAAUUCUGCCGGUUCCAACUUUACCCUGGUAUUUACGAAUAUGUCACAGUACCAGAAUGUCAAUUCAUUGUAAAUAUUAGGAAUGCCAAGAAAGAGACCAUAUUUCAGUCAGUUUUAUCUACCUACAACAAACCAAAGAAAGUUCUUCAGUCAUGGGAAUGGAAAAUUAAUGGCUCAGAUUGUGAAUAUACAGCUUUAUAUCCAAGAGCUUGGACCACUUAUGAUCUUACAAAAUAUGGAAUUAAAUUAGUCUGUCGUCAAAUAUCGCCUGUGAUACCUCACAAUUACAAGGACAGUAGUUUGCCGUGUGCUGUUUUUGUAUUUUCAGCGAAAAAUGUUUGUAAUGAACAAAGAGAUGUAAGUAUAACGUUCACAUGGACCGAAGUUCUAGCAGAACCAAAAAAGAAGAAAGCAACGGGUAAAUUGGACUUGGAAAGAUAUUCCGAGGAAAAUACGUGCGGAGUGACCUUGGAACAGCGAAUAGUUGACCAGCCUUGCACGUUCACAAUAGCUAAAACGAAACAAGAAAACGAAACAAUCCAUGAAGGCUACUGCCUUUGGAACUCUGCAAAAACAUCCGGCUAUGUGUGGGAAUGCUUAAAGAAACACGGAAAAUUAGAACCUGAUCCGAGUCAGACGCCGACUCCGCCGAAAACUGACAAUAAAAAGGAAAAUAAGGAGAAGACGAAGAAGGUUUACAAAAAUGACUCCAUAGGAUUAUCUAGCGCAAUAUCUUUAGAGCCAGGAGGAUGUGGCUCAACCGAAUUUUGUCUUGUAUGGGACAUGCCAGUCAUAAAAUACAAAAAAGAUUGUAAAAUUCAUAAAAGAUAUUAUACAAAAUAUUUUGGCUGUGAUGGUACAGCUGGUGCUAGUAUAGCGGCAUACGCGCUUAGGAAUUAUAAAAAUUGGGAACAGCAACUCGCGGAAUGGCAAGAUCCCAUAUUAAAUAACAGUAAUGUACCCGAUUGGUUAAAAAGUGCCUUAAUGAAUGAGCUUUACUUCGUCGCAGACGGUGGAACAAUUUGGUUUGACGUCCCCGACGAGUUUCCCGAGACUGACCCGCGACAUGAAUUUGGUGUAUUCGGCUAUUUAGAGGGACACGAAUACAGGAUGUAUAACACUUAUGAUGUUCAUUUUUAUGCAUCUUUCGCACUCGCACAGCUCUGGCCUAAUUUACAAGUCGUGUUACAAUAUAUGUUCCGCGACUCGAUAGCAGUAGAAACGACGAAACUAAGGCAGUCGUUAUACGACGGCAAAUCUUGUAAUAUCAAAAUUAAGGAUUCCAUCCCGCACGAUUUGGGCGAUCCGGAGGGCGUACCGUUCACGCAAAUAAACGCAUACAACAUCCACGACGUGUCCGAGUGGCGCGACCUGAACCUCAAGUUCAUCUUGCAAGUGAUGCGCGACCACCGCCUGCUGCGGGCCUACAGCGCGCCCUUCGGCGACGAGCGCUGCCGCUCGCUGGCCUUCAUCGACGACGUGCGCGACGGCACCGAGGACGACCUGUACUCGCGCGCCACGGGGCAGGCCGACGACUCGGAGCGGCCGUCCCCCGCCCGCGCGCCCCCCGCGCCUCCCGGGCCCGCGCCCGAGCGGCCCGCCGGCGUGGCCGACAUCCUCGACCUGCUGUACCGCAGCUCCGAGCCCGCCGACGAGCGCGGCGAGGCGCUGCAGCCGCGCGAGGCGCCGGCCGCCGUGUGGGACAGUCGCCGCUACCUGGCCGACAUGUACCCCGCCUGCGCCGCGCUGCUGCGCCGCGUGGCGCUGUGGGACGAGGACGGCGACGGCCUCAUCGAGAACGGCGGCUUUCCGGACCAGACCUACGACGCGUGGGUAAUGACCGGCCCGAGCGCCUAUUGCGGCGGGUUGUGGGUAGCGGCGUUGAGCGUGGUCCAGACGAUGGCUCGGCUACUCGGCUUCGAGGAGGACGAGAGAGAGUUCUCGAAGUUACUGGAGCAGGCGCGCGCCUCCUAUGAAAAAAAACUUUGGAACGGUUCCUAUUAUAGAUUCGAUACGAAGCCAUGUAACUCUGAGGUAGUUAUGGCCGAUCAGCUUGCCGGACAUUGGUUCCUUCGGGCGUCCGGUUGGACCGAUCCAGUAUUCCCCGAAGCGAACGUUAAGAAAGCUUUGCAUACGAUAUACGAGAAUAACGUACUCCGUUUUCUGAAUGGACGAAUGGGUGCAGUUAACGGCUUCGUGGGAGGAACGCGAGGUCACAUCGACACUACUGCCAUACAGAGCGAGGAGGUGUGGACUGGAGUCACAUAUGGACUAGCUUCUCUCAUGAUUUAUGAAGGUAUGCACGAGCAAGCAUUUGUAACGGCUGGCGGAUUACAUAGCACUUUAGUAAAAAUGGGAUUAUCAUUUGAAACUCCAGAGGCACUGUAUGAGAACGGGAACCAUCGUUCUAUAGCGUACAUGCGACCCCUGGCGAUAUGGGCGAUGUAUCAGGCUAUAUUAACCAGGCCGUGCCCUAUAGUUCCUAUUUCUAACGGUCAAGCCCUACACUCGAAAGAAAAUUUAUAGUGUUGGCAAUUAUUUAGUUUGCAAUGCAAAAACAGGACACAAUUAAAAAGGUUUUUUUUUUCGUUUAACAUUAAGAUUAUCAUUGUGCCAAGCGGUUCCGUUUUAUUGAAAAUGUUUAUGUCAAAUCUUUAAUAUCCAUAGUAUAUUUACUCGAAAAUAAUCCUGUAAGAUAUUUGAAACUUUUGAAAAAAGACGUCAAAUGAAAAUUGCCUUAUGAUUUAAAAAAAACGCUUAGUAGCAUUAUGCCAAUUUAGACUUUUUGACGUCUUGGACGAAUUAUUAAGAAUGUACACAGUAUUUCUAUUCGCGAAAUAAAUAACUUUAAAUUGUAAAAAUAAUGAUGAUAUUUUUUUUUCUUGUCAUACAAAGACAAUAAAAUAAUUUACUCAUUUUUAAUGCAUGCGCUGAUUGAAAAUGAAUACAAUGGCAAGUAACUGCACAAAAUACGAUAAAAAAAUGAUUCAUAUUUUUUUUUUAAACCAAUUUUGUAUUUUAAAGUGAAAUAAGCCAUUUUUUACCAUACUUAAAUCCUAAUUUCAUUUUGUACUUUAAGUUUAUAUAACCACAGACAAAAAUUCAUAAAGAUUUUUUAUUACUUUCUUAAAAAUGACUUGAUAAUAAUUUCAGUAUUUUACUGCCUUUUAGAAUUUUAUUUUUUUUAUUUUCCGAUAAAGUGUAUUAUUUUUAGAUAUAGAAUUAAAGUAAUUAAGUAAAUCUCUUAAAUGUUUAUAUGGAACCUACACAGGUUGUGUCUUAAUUUUAUCUCAAUUUGCUGUUUUAUGUAUUGUAAUAAUGUUGCAUAGAUUUUGUCUUUUCGGGUUUAGCUCUAUUAACACCGAGUACACAGCCUGACCACGCACAAUAUUGUAUGUUUACAUUGACAACAUUGUGCUAGGUAAAAUUCAGCGUGCAAUAGAUGAUGAACAUCAUAAUUAUAUGCCAAAGAUAUAAAUGUAAUUAUUGCAUAUUAAUAAUUUUAAAUGAUAAUAAUUAUAUUAAGCUAAAGGGAACUGAAAAUAAAGACGAAGUAUUAUUACAUAUACAUUUGUAAAUAUUGAACACUGGACCCAGUAAAAAUGAUUAUUGCCACUAGAGUGAAAUAAGUGUAAGUUUAAGUGGUUUUAAAAUUAAAAAAAAUCUGAUUUUACAUUUUUAUUUUCAUGUAUUAUAAAUGCAUUUUGGGAA